This 253-nucleotide ribosomal RNA is filed under the name uncultured bacterium. Its description in RNAcentral is "partial 16S ribosomal RNA". It matches the Rfam family "Bacterial small subunit ribosomal RNA", at positions 524 to 776 of the family's 1533-position model. The record is from RNAcentral.
UACGUAGGGAGCAAGCGUUGUCCGGAAUCAUUGGGCGUAAAACGCGCGUAGGCGGCCCCGUAAGUCCGCUGUGAAAGUCAAAGGCUCAACCUUUGAAAGCCGGUGGAUACUGUGGGGCUAGAGUCCGGAAGAGGCGAGUGGAAUUCCUGGUGUAGCGGUGGAAUGCGCAGAUAUCAGGAGGAACACCAAUAGCGAAGGCAGCUCGCUGGGACGGUACUGACGCUAAGGCGCGAAAGCGUGGGGAGCGAACAGG